AUCGGUCGUGCCUAAGUUGCUUGGAACAGUACGUCAUAGAGGGUGACAACCCCGUCUGUGGCUCGGCCGGCCGCUCACGAUGUGCUUUCGAAGAGUCGGGUUGUUUGGGAUUGCAGCCCUAAAUGGGAGAUAAACUUCUUCUAAAGCUAAAUAUUUAUGGGAAACCGAUAGCGAACAAGUACUGCGAAGGAAAGGUGAAAAGAACUUUGAAAAGAGGGUUAAAAGACUUGAAAUCGUUGAGAAGAAAGUGG
This 251-nucleotide ribosomal RNA is filed under the name Oxyrrhis marina. RNAcentral's name for it is "partial Eukaryotic large subunit ribosomal RNA". It matches the Rfam family "Eukaryotic large subunit ribosomal RNA", at positions 169 to 422 of the family's 3401-position model. Lineage: Eukaryota; Dinophyceae; Oxyrrhinales; Oxyrrhinaceae. The record is from RNAcentral.